This is a small nuclear RNA of Grammomys surdaster, 170 nucleotides long. RefSeq annotates it as U1 spliceosomal RNA. The record is from RefSeq and is a predicted model, not a curated record. The transcript has a single exon. NCBI's taxonomy places the organism in Eukaryota, Metazoa, Chordata, Mammalia, Rodentia, Muridae.
AUACUUACUGGAGGAGAGAUGUCAUGAUCAGGUGAUCAGGAAAAUGGUUUUCCCAGGGGAAGGCUCACCCAUCGCACUCUGGAUGUGCUGACCCUGCGAUUUCCCCAAAUUCGGGAAACUCCAGUGCAUAAUUUGUGGUAGUGAAGGAUUGCUUUUAUGAUUUUCCCUUA